Molecule: long non-coding RNA, 1186 nt
Organism: Megalopta genalis
Lineage: Eukaryota; Metazoa; Arthropoda; Insecta; Hymenoptera; Halictidae
Source: RefSeq, a predicted model, not a curated record
AGUAGAUGGCAGAACGAUCACAUCUGAUCGACGCAACAACCGCAGCCUUUUAUAGCUGGGAAAUUGCAUCUAAAUCGAUUGAACAACGAAAAAUCGAGCGGUUAAUAAUAGUUCGAUUAUCAGGCUCGUAGCGGUGACGAAAGAUCAAUUCAAUUGGCGCUUGAGAAAGUCGAAAAUGUGUUCCAGCAUGAACCAGUUCCAGUUCGAAACAUGAAAGAACCGGAAUUAUUUCGUCCAGGGCAAUUACGAUUUGCAUAAGACUGAACUGCCGAUCUAUGACUAAGCAUGAACUUUGCUUCUUUAUCAAUUGAAGGUUAUGUUCGACAACCUCGACUAUCGUAUUGUCGCGAGAACAAGUUCUUGCGAUGGAAACACGCAUCUUUUUGUUCUUCGAGAACAUUCGCAGCACCCUGUAUAUAUUGUGGCAUCGAAAUACGCAAACAAUAAUUAGCAGAUUCUGUAAAAUAAUUCCUGGCACGAUUGAUCAAAUCUCGGACAGCGACAAUGAUCGAGGAUCACGAUAUUAUCUUUAUUAGAACGAAUGUGCUUUUCUAAUUAUUUGCCUAAAGUAAUUUCUUGUUUCAAUAUUGUUCUCUUUUUUUUUUAAAAAAGAUAAGCGUUGAUGAUUCAAUGUUCUUGAACUCUGUAUGUGUAGAAUAUCUCUAAGAUUUUCAAUUAUUUCAAAUAGCUGGAAUAACAGUUGAAAAAAUAUAAAAAUCUCUCUCUCUCUCUCUCUCUCUGACUGCAUUAACCCACUGCACUAUAUUAUAGUGAUUAUUAGACCGCGGAACUUUAUGCAAAAAAACUGAUUACAUAAAACAGAAGUUACAUAAUAAUAUAGAUUACUUUUGCCUGUUGAUACAGUAAAUGCAAUGUUUUGCAGUAUUUUUAACUUCUGGCGUCUUCGCUUAUCUGUGCUUCAUUUAUCCAUUUUUGUUAAAAAUGCACAAAAUCCGCAGUCAAACCGUCGAUAAAAAUUUCAAACAGAAUCUGUUAUUAUCUCGAUGUUAAGUCAACGUUAUUAUCAAAAUGGAAAUUCUAAACGAAAACAAAAUCGAACUUGUCGAUAGUUGAUCGUUAGAGUCAAUGCAGACGUACAGUAAACAACGUUUAACCCAUCGUCGCAAGAAUUUUUUAACGGCAAAGAACACGGUGCAAUCGCUAAAAGAAGAUAUCGCAUAACAAA